GAUGAACGCUGGCGGCGUGCCUAAUACAUGCAAGUCGAGCGAACAGAUGAGGAGCUUGCUCCUCUGACGUUAGCGGGGGACGGGUGAGUAACACGUGGAUAACCUACCUAUAAUACUGGGAGAACUUCGGGAAACCGGAGCUAAUACCGGAUAAUAUAUUGAACCGCAUGAUUCAAUAGUUAAAGACGGUUUUGCUGUCUCUUAUAGAUGGAUCCGCGCCGCAUUAGCUAGUUGGUAAGGUAACGGCUUACCAAGGCAACGAUGCGUAGCCGACCUGAGAGGGUGAUCGGCCACACUGGAACUGAGACACGGUCCAGACUCCUACGGGAGGCAGCAGUAGGGAAUCUUCCGCAAAGGGCGAAAGCCUGACGGAGCAACGCCGCGUGAGUGAUGAAGGUCUUCGGAUCGUAAAACUCUGUUAUUAGGGAAGAACAACUGUGUAAGUAACUCUGCACGUCUUGACGGUACCUAAUCAGAAAGCCACGGCUAACUACGUG
RNAcentral lists this ribosomal RNA (497 nucleotides) under uncultured bacterium. RNAcentral describes it as "partial 16S ribosomal RNA". It matches the Rfam family "Bacterial small subunit ribosomal RNA", at positions 28 to 507 of the family's 1533-position model. The record is from RNAcentral.